This is a long non-coding RNA of Culex quinquefasciatus (southern house mosquito), 396 nucleotides long. RefSeq lists it as uncharacterized. The record is from RefSeq and is a predicted model, not a curated record. The transcript is spliced from 2 exons. Lineage: Eukaryota; Metazoa; Arthropoda; Insecta; Diptera; Culicidae.
UUUUGCUGCAUUUUUUUUUUGUUUGUUUGUUCAUUUAGCAUUGAGAAAUCAAAACAAAAAUUCAUCGAUAGCCAACUGUAGCAAGAUUUAAGUUUAAAAUCGAAAAAAUAAAUGUUCUACCUGACACGAACGGAGUUAAACAGAAUUUAAUCGUAAAAACAGAAAACGAAAAAAAGGAGAGCCAGAACCGGAUGCCAUUUGGAAGAAGGAAAUAUUUACUACUAUUCAGACCAGAAUCAACGAAUAAAUAUAUCGCUAACAUUGACAAAUUCCUUUCACAUGUAUAUUAAGAAAUUCAGUACAAUCAGAUGAUCAUUAGUAACUGAAUGUAAAAAAAACACACACCAAUCAGUUUGACUUAAUAAAAAUUGACAACAGUUUUGUGAAUACUUUGAA